UGGGAUACCACUUGGAAACAGGUGCUAAUACCGGAUAACAACAAUAGCUGCAUGGCUAUUGCUUAAAAGGCGGCGAAAGCUGUCGCUAAAGGAUGGACCCGCGGUGCAUUAGCUAGUUGGUAAGGUAAUGGCUUACCAAGGCGACGAUGCAUAGCCGAGUUGAGAGACUGAUCGGCCACAUUGGGACUGAGACACGGCCCAAACUCCUACGGGAGGCAGCAGUAGGGAAUCUUCCACAAUGGGCGAAAGCCUGAUGGAGCAACGCCGCGUGAGUGAAGAAGGUUUUCGGAUCGUAAAGCUCUGUUGUUGGUGAAGAAGGAUAGAGGUAGUAACUGGCCCCUAUUUGACGGUAAUCAACCAGAAAGUCACGGCUAACUACGUGCCAGCAGCCGCGGUAAUACGUAGGUGGCAAGCGUUGUCCGGAUUUAUUGGGCGUAAAGCGAGCGCAGGCGGAAAGAUAAGUCUGACGUGAAAGCCCCCGGCUUAACCGAGGAAUUGCAUCGGAAACUGUGUUUCUUGAGUGCAGAAGAGGAGAGUGGAACUCCAUGUGUAGCGGUGGAAUGCGUAGAUAUAUGGAAGAACACCAGUGGCGAAGGCGGCUCUCUGGUCUGUAACUGACGCUGAGGCUCGAAAGCAUGGGUAGCGAACAGGAUUAGAUACCCUGGUAGUCCAUGCCGUAAACGAUGAG
Molecule: ribosomal RNA, 688 nt
Filed under: uncultured bacterium
Lineage: Bacteria
Description: bacterial SSU rRNA
Rfam family: Bacterial small subunit ribosomal RNA
Source: RNAcentral